RNAcentral lists this ribosomal RNA (455 nucleotides) under uncultured organism. RNAcentral describes it as "partial 16S ribosomal RNA". It matches the Rfam family "Bacterial small subunit ribosomal RNA", at positions 335 to 801 of the family's 1533-position model. The record is from RNAcentral.
ACUCCUGCGGGAGGCAGCAGUGGGGAAUAUUGCACAAUGGGCGGAAGCCUGAUGCAGCAACGCCGCGUGCGGGAUGACGGCCUUCGGGUUGUAAACCGCUUUCGCCUGUGACGAAGCGUGAGUGACGGUAAUGGGUAAAGAAGCACCGGCUAACUACGUGCCAGCAGCCGCGGUGAUACGUAGGGUGCGAGCGUUGUCCGGAUUUAUUGGGCGUAAAGGGCUCGUAGGUGGUUGAUCGCGUCGGAAGUGUAAUCUUGGGGCUUAACCCUGAGCGUGCUUUCGAUACGGGUUGACUUGAGGAAGGUAGGGGAGAAUGGAAUUCCUGGUGGAGCGGUGGAAUGCGCAGAUAUCAGGAGGAACACCAGUGGCGAAGGCGGUUCUCUGGGCCUUUCCUGACGCUGAGGAGCGAAAGCGUGGGGAGCGAACAGGCUUAGAUACCCCAGUAGUCCCAUGAU